GAUGAACGCUAGCGGCAGGCUUAACACAUGCAAGUCGAGGGGUAUAGUUCUUCGGAAUUAGAGACCGGCGCACGGGUGCGUAACGCGUAUGCAAUCUACCUUUCACAGAGGGAUAGCCCCAGAGAAAUUUGGAUUAAUACCUCAUAGUAUAGCAGUUUCGCAUGAAACCACUAUUAAAGUCACAACGGUGAAAGAUGAGCAUGCGUCCCAUUAGCUAGUUGGUAAGGUAACGGCUUACCAAGGCAACGAUGGGUAGGGGUCCUGAGAGGGAGAUCCCCCACACUGGUACUGAGACACGGACCAGACUCCUACGGGAGGCAGCAGUGAGGAAUAUUGGACAAUGGGCGCAAGCCUGAUCCAGCCAUGCCGCGUGCAGGAUGACGGUCCUAUGGAUUGUAAACUGCUUUAUACAGGAAGAAACACUACUUCGUGAAGUAGCUUGACGGUACUGUAAGAAUAAGGAUCGGCUAACUCCGUGCCAGCA
This 484-nucleotide ribosomal RNA is filed under the name uncultured bacterium. RNAcentral describes it as "bacterial SSU rRNA". It matches the Rfam family "Bacterial small subunit ribosomal RNA", at positions 28 to 513 of the family's 1533-position model. The record is from RNAcentral.